RNAcentral lists this ribosomal RNA (253 nucleotides) under uncultured bacterium. RNAcentral describes it as "partial 16S ribosomal RNA". It matches the Rfam family "Bacterial small subunit ribosomal RNA", at positions 524 to 776 of the family's 1533-position model. The record is from RNAcentral.
UACGUAGGGUGCAAGCGUUGUCCGGAAUUAUUGGGCGUAAAGAGCUCGUAGGCGGUUUGUCGCGUCUGCUGUGAAAACGCGGGGCUCAACUCCGCGCCUGCAGUGGGUACGGGCAGACUAGAGUGCAGUAGGGGAGACUGGAAUUCCUGGUGUAGCGGUGGAAUGCGCAGAUAUCAGGAGGAACACCGGUGGCGAAGGCGGGUCUCUGGGCCGUAACUGACGCUGAGGAGCGAAAGCGUGGGGAGCGAACAGG